Molecule: ribosomal RNA, 253 nt
Filed under: uncultured bacterium
Lineage: Bacteria
Description: partial 16S ribosomal RNA
Rfam family: Bacterial small subunit ribosomal RNA
Source: RNAcentral
UACGAAGGGGGCUAGCGUUGUUCGGAAUUACUGGGCGUAAAGGGUGCGUAGGCGGUAGAGUGUGUCUGAUGUGAAAUUCCUUGGCUUAACCAGGGAACUGCAUUGGAAACUGCUUUACUCGAGUUCAAGAGGGGAUGGUGGAAUUCCCGGUGUAGAGGUGAAAUUCGUAGAUACCGGGAGGAACACCUGGGGCGAAGGCGACCAUCUGGCUUGAAACUGACGCUGAGGCACGAAAGCGUGGGUAGCAAACAGG